UUUUUUUUUUUUUCUUUUUUUUUUAAUGUCCACACCUACGGUGUAUGGACGUUCCCAGGCCAGGGGUCAAAUCAAAGCUGCUGACCUACGACACAGCCACAGCAACUAGGGAUCUAAACCGCAUCUACAAUUUAUACUGCAGCUUCUGGCAAUGCCAGAUCCUUAGCCCACUGAGCCAGGCCAGGGAUCGAAUCCACAUCCUCAUGGAUACUAGUCAGGUUCUUAAUCUACUGAGCCGCAGAGAAAACUCCAUGGUUGUGUUUCAAAGUUAUAUGGCUGUAAGUUUGUGUGUACAAGCAAGAAUGUGGCUGAGAAAUGGACACCAUGGGCUUGCUGCCUCUGAGAGUCGGUUUGCAUGAGCUGACAAGUAUAUGACAUGCAUGAGCGGUUAUAUUUUGGAAUGCAGGAAGGUUGGGGAGAUACCCAAGAAGAUGAGGAGAUGAGAGUGAUUUCAAGGACAUGGACUCUUCCAAAACACAGCCAGAAAGUCUGGUUUUAAGACAAUUGAAAAAGAGGUUAAGGAGAAAAGCUGAAGGCUAUGUUGAUAAUAACCAUCAGCCUCUGGGCACCCAUGAUGCCUCUUCAAGACCUCAGUAACAAAGCUUCAGAGAUUUGAGAAAAGGCCAUUGGGCUACCAUGUCUCCGACCUCCAACACAGCUUUGGGUGGCACCAGCAGAGAGGCCGUCCCAGAGAGGGCAGCAGCCACGCAGGUGGAGCUGAGGUUGGAGCAGAAGAGAGGUAAGUGCUCCAGCACAGACCAUCACCCAGGACCCCUGGAAAAUACUAGGACAUGCCCUGAGGGGGAGCUGAAAUGCAGGGUGAGCAGGUGGGGGCUGGGAUUCGUCAGAGUUUUGUGUCUUAAUCUAAGGCAGAAUCUCAGCUUUAGCACAAUUGACAGUUGGGGACAGAUUAUUCCUUGUUGUUGGAGCCAUCCUGUGCAUUAUAGGAUGUUUAGUAGCAUUCCUAGCCUCCACUCCCUAGAUGCCAGUAGUAACCCCUCCCCAGUCAUGACCAAAAAUAUUUCUAGAUAUUGUCAAACUUUCCCUGGGGGCAAAAAUCUCCCUAGGCACAGAGCCACUGAUCUAAUGGAAAAGCAACUACAAUCAUAGAUUGGUGAAAAUCACCACAUGCAAACAGCUAAUUUUUGUUGAGUCUUUACAGUACCCUGGGCCCUCUCCUAAAUGCUUCAGGUUUUAAACUUAGGACAUGUUCCUGACUCCAUGAGGUGGGUUCUGUACUUCAUUUUGCAGAUGAAGAGACUGAGAGCACAGAGGGGAUAACUCUUCUAAGCUCACACUGAUAAGACACAGCAGAACUGGACUAGGAACCCAUGUGUUCUGGCUUCGGAGCCCUUCCAAACAACAUGGUAACAAUUGUGGAUUUUCUGUGUGACUACCAUCUUUCUUUUCCUUUGUGGCUGGUUGUUCUUCUUGUUGUACUUUUCAAAUAUUUUCCAACAAAAGAAAUCACUUUAAUCAAAAUGACUAGGCAAGUAGUUAAGAAGACCCAUGGUGCAGGACUCCUGGCCUGAGCCAUUUUGAGUCAUUUUGCUGGCCUCAGACAAGCAUAUCUGAGCAAGAGCCCUGGUGGGUCUCCUUGUCCACAAUGCCAGGAAAGGAUCAAGCCAGCUAAUGUGAUUUUAUCUUAUUUUUUAUUUUUUUACUUUUAUUUUUUGUUUUUUUUUUUAGGGCCACACCCGUGGCAUAUGGAGGUUCCCAGGCUAGGGGUCAAAUUGGAGCUACAGCCACUGGCCUAUGCCACAGCCACAGCACAGAAUACAAGCCGCAUCAACGACCCACACCACAGCUCAUGGCAAUGUCGGAUCCUUAACCCCCUGAGAGAGGCCAGGAUCAAACCACAAGUCAUAGUUACUAGUUGGAUUUGUUUCCACUGCGGGCCAUGAUGGGAACUCCUGGUCAAUGUGAUUUUAAAUUAAGACUGAAAAACAACAGGUGAAAGAGAGACUUGAGAGAGUAUUGCCUCGUGGUUUGUUGAGUCUUUCUCAUCUUUCUCUCCUAACUGCACAGUGAGCGGAUUCAUGUGUAGCCUGCACUCCUGGCCUAUCACCUGCAGGUAGUGAUCUCUUGGGAUGGGUGCUGGCGCUCUUCCUGGGUGGGAGGGCUGUCAGACUGUGGGUUCACAGGCUGGAGGUGGAGAUUCCGGGAAACAAAGGGCUGAGGCCACAGACCAGGGCUGCAUCCCAAGCAUCAAGCUGAGGCAGGCGUUUGGGUAGAAAUUCUCGCUGUGGUAGCCCAGCAUUUAGCAGCACCUGCCUGUCACUCACCACUUACUCUAGUCCCUUAAUGACACUUCCCUUGUCAUUUGCCUGGUGUUGCUUUUAUCUUAAGUGAAUUUAACAAUGGUGAAAGGUGCCAGUGCAAGGUCCCCAGAGAGGAGCUUUGCUGAAAGAGCUGUUGGAAUGAAACUUUCUCCCAUCAAAUCACAUCUGAUGCCCCACUCCUGGUGGGUAAGUAAUCCCGUGGCUUUGGGGGGUGCCUGAAGGCCUGGUUGAGCCAUCCCAGCUUUUCCCACAGCUCAGCAGGCACCCUUAAAGGAAGCCAGCUGCAUGCAGGUCUGCAAAAUGGGGAGACAUUUUGCCAACACUUUUUCUUUAAUUCCCACACCCAGGAGUAUUUCAGAGGGAAUUUAAUCUCUAUGUUUCUGGUUCAUUUACACUUAACUUGUCACAGGAUUCUUUUCCAAGAGCCAUUUGGUGCCCAAGAGAACUUGUGAGUCUUUUAAACAUACAUUCAUCUUUAAAAGAUUUUUUUUUUUAAUUAGCCAGGUUCAAAGCAAUGUCUGAACUACACAUAAAUAUGAAACAGUUUUAAAUUUCAAAUCCAGUUAAGUUUCUGAGUGGUUCUGGGAAGCAGCCCAUCCACCAAUAAGUCAAUGACAGGGGAACGCAAGUAUCAUUUUGCCCUUUCAGGGUUGAGAAUUGUCAUUGGGGUGUGAAAUAAGAGAGCAGGAAAAGUAGAAAUAGAGGAAGCAAGAAGAGGAAGAGAGAGGUUGAAGGCAUAAUAACUUUUCUGCCUUGUUCAACCUCUUACUCUACUAGGUUCUGCGCUAAACACUUUGUACGUCAGUUCUUAACAACUCUAUGGCAACUUAAAAAAAUUUUUUUAUUCUAGUUGAUUUACAAUGUUCUGUCAAUUUCUGCUGUACAGCAAAGUGACCCAGUUAAACAUAUACACACUUUCUUUUUCUCACAUUAUCCUCCGUCAUGUUCCAUCACGUGUUGAUUUUUGUCCGUCUCAUUGUACAGCCUACACUUCCGUGGAAAGAGCUUCCUUUCACUUGCAAUUAUAGGGCACUGUCUCCUACACGCCCAUAAAACUCACCUUGAGGUAGAGGGGGGAAGGACUAAAUGUUCUGCCCUUUGGGUGAAGCCUGACUUUACUUCUGGAGAGAACUGGGGACAAAAAGUUUCCUAGGCACUGAGGUCAGUUAUUUCUGGGGGAACUUGUAUUUUUAAGACAAAAUUCCUUUGUAUGUUCUGCAGAUUGAAAAAUAAGAAAUUGUGUGUGUGUGUGUGUGUGUGUCUUGGCAGGAUAUCUGUGGGAGCCAAGCACCAUGUCCACCUCUACCAGGACCCUGGUUUACUCCUCUCAGUUGAACAGCACUUUGCUUGAAGCCUUACAUCCCACUCCGUUUAGUUCAUGAAGUGCUGAGGACCUCUGAUGGCAGGACUGUUGUACUUGAUAUUGAAUAUACCACAGUGAGGAAGAAACAAACACGUGCAUUUAUUUUGGUGGCUUUUCCUCAGUAUCACUGUCUUUGGAGCAUUUUACAUAGAUGAUCUCAGAUCUCCCCAAGGGGCAAGGGUACUCAUAGGUUCCCUGGUCCUUCUUUUCAUCUAUUAUUUAAAUUUGCAUCACACUCACUUUUAUUUCAAGAAAGAAGUUUUGACUAAAUCAGUAAGCGUAGGAUUCCCCAAAGAGAUGAUGGAAAGUGCUAAUAUAGAGGCAACGAAGGUGCGUAAGGAUCAGAAAAGAUUUGACCACAAGCCCAGCCACUCUGGAGAAAAGCAGCUUGCAGGGCCAUGCUUGAGGACAGAGAAAUUUGAGGGGAUGGGGAAUUUGAAAUGGAGCCAAGACAAGGGCUUUCUCUGUGUUCUCAAGUGUCAUAAAUUAGUUUUGGAUGCAAAGGCAUGGAAGAUGACAUAUCUCUACUCUCUUCUAGGAGCUGAUGUUGGCAAUAGGUAUAUCGAGGAUUGGAGAAGGAAAGGAGAGGGAAAGAUGUCAGUUUCAAGAUAGAUGAGACUUGACCAAUCUUCCUCUACUGUUUAGCUACAGUCUACCCCAUGCAAGGCUGCAUUUUGCCAUAACCAGGCUUACACUGCCUUUUCCUGUCACUUGGGCUUGUGUUGCCACAACUGCCACUCCAAAACCUCUGAAAGCUUCCCUUUACCUACAGCCUGAGCUCCAAACUUGCUCCCUCAGCCUCAAAGUUCUUUUUCACUUUUUAACUCUCAACAGUUCCUCAAACAGGGACACAAGCACUGCAUUCUAUUAAAGCUGAUGCAUUUGUCAGUAGGGAGAUCCAUUGUCCUGGUUUUCCCAGGGUAUAGGGUGUUCCAAGGACAUGGGAUUAUCAGUGCUAGAACCAGGAAAGUCCUGGGCUCACUGGAUGAGUAAGUCACUCUAUCUAAGUCACUCUUGGAUAAGUAAAUUUUGAGUUGUUUGGCUCUGAACCUCUCACACUUCUCCACCUGCUUGGGAAUGCUACCUCUUUCCAUCUGCUAUUCAAAAUUUAUUCAUCUGCAUAGAUCCAUCUUGAAUUCUAGCUCCCAGAUGAAUCUUUCCCAGAUCACCUCCAUGACAAACCAUUUCUCUUUCCUUUGAAUCCCAGUAGCUCUGGUUUCCUGGGUGAUCUGUAGGAAAGCGGUAGAGUGGUUGGGAACAUGGAUUUAGGAGGGAGGGAAGUAUACGUCCCACAUCUCAUGUGAACAGUUGCUAACUGAAUGGAGUUAUUUCUCCUCUUCCUGUCUCAGUUUCUCGGGUUUUGGGUGUGUUUGCACAAAUACCCAAUUAUAAUACUUAGCUCUUUGGGAGGUUGUGAAGGUUGAGUGAAAUAAUAUAUGUUGCACCUGUGUCAUAGGUAGUCUAUUAAUAUAUUUUUAAUAUAUUUUAAUAUACUUUAAAUAAAUAUUUAAUAAUUCUCUUUGGUUCCUUCAUUCAAUGAGUAUUUGAUGAGUGCCUUCUAUGUACCUGGUCCUAUUCCAUGAAACAGACAAUAUCUCUGCCCUAAGGAGCUUAGAUGCUAGUGGG
RNAcentral lists this long non-coding RNA (5271 nucleotides) under Sus scrofa (pig). RNAcentral describes it as "lncRNA (ENSSSCG00030005318.1)". Lineage: Eukaryota; Metazoa; Chordata; Mammalia; Artiodactyla; Suidae. The record is from RNAcentral.